Molecule: non-coding RNA, 522 nt
Filed under: Brugia timori
Lineage: Eukaryota; Metazoa; Nematoda; Chromadorea; Rhabditida; Onchocercidae
Description: Eukaryotic large subunit ribosomal RNA
Rfam family: Eukaryotic large subunit ribosomal RNA
Source: Rfam by way of RNAcentral
AUCAUUGCGAAGCAGAUUUCGCCAAGCGUUGGAUUGUUCACCCACUAAUAGGGAACGUGAGCUGGGUUUAGACCGUCGUGAGACAGGUUAGUUUUAUCCUACUGUUGAUUUAUUAAUGUUGUUGAAAUAGUAAUCUAACUUAGUACGAGAGGAACCGUUAGAUCAGCUAAUUGGUAUAUAAUGUUAUUGGAAACAAUAAUGCAUUGAAUCUACCAGCUGCAGAAUUAUGACUGAACGCAUCUAAGUCAGUAUUCUGUCUAGUAAUAUCAACAAUAAAUUUUUGCCUUAACAUGUUUUUAGGCAAUUUUAUAUCUUUUUUAAAGAUAGUUUAAGCCUUGCGUUAUGAUUUAUUAAAUAUUUUAAAAUAAAUAUUUAAUAAUAAUAUCGUAUCAUUGAUAUUAUUUCAUGUCAAGGUAAUAGUGAGCUUGUAUACGACUAGCUAGCUGGACCAGGGGGUGUAAGUAGUAGAGCAGGUCUUUCCUGCGAUCUAUUGAGCCUUAUCCUUGUGUUUGGUGUCACUGU